Molecule: non-coding RNA, 67 nt
Organism: Boeremia exigua
Lineage: Eukaryota; Fungi; Ascomycota; Dothideomycetes; Pleosporales; Didymellaceae
Source: the annotation of a RefSeq genome assembly
GGCUGGCACAAUCGGUAGCGCGUGAGACUCUUAAUCUCAAGGUUGAGGGUUCGGUACGUUCAUCCCA